RNAcentral lists this ribosomal RNA (496 nucleotides) under uncultured bacterium. RNAcentral's name for it is "bacterial SSU rRNA". It matches the Rfam family "Bacterial small subunit ribosomal RNA", at positions 30 to 507 of the family's 1533-position model. The record is from RNAcentral.
AUGAACGCUAGCGGCAGGCUUAAUACAUGGCAAGUUGAGGGGCAGCAUGAUAUACGCGAGUAUAUUGAUGGCGACCGGGCGGACGGGUGAGUAAUAGGUAGGAGACCUACCUCAUACAGGGGGAUAGCAUAGAGAAAUCUGUGGUAAUACCCCAUGAGGUUAUAUGAAUAGAGGCAUAUAAUCAAAGCAUAAGCGAUUAUGCGGUAUGAGAGGGGCCUACUGACCAUUAGCUAGUUGGUGAGGUAAGGGCUCACCAAGGCGAAGAUGGUUAGGGGUUUUGAGAGAGAGACCCCCCACAUUGGAACUGAGAGACGGUCCAGACUCCUACGGGAGGCAGCAGUAGGGAAUAUUGGGCAAUGGGCGAAAGCCUGACCCAGCCAUGCCGCGUGAAGGAAGACGGCCUUAUGGGUUGUAAACUUCUUUACUACGCGAAUAGAGGUUAGUACGAGAUACUAAUAGGAAGGUAGUGUAGUAAAAAGCACCGGCUAACUCCGUG